RNAcentral lists this ribosomal RNA (339 nucleotides) under uncultured bacterium. RNAcentral describes it as "bacterial SSU rRNA". It matches the Rfam family "Bacterial small subunit ribosomal RNA", at positions 83 to 422 of the family's 1533-position model. The record is from RNAcentral.
CCGCAAGGGCAACCGGCGAACGGGUGCGUAACACGUGAGCAACCUGCCUUUGUGUGGGGGAUAGCCGGGCUAACGCCCGGGUAAUACCGCAUACGGUUCUCGAGGGGAGUCCCUUGAGAAAGAAACCUCCGGGGUACGAAGAGGGGCUCGCGGCCUAUCAGCUAGUUGGCGGGGUAAUGGCCCACCAAGGCGACGACGGGUAGCUGGUCUGAGAGGAUGGCCAGCCACAUUGGGACUGAGAGACGGCCCAGACUCCUACGGGAGGCAGCAGUGGGGAAUCUUGCGCAAUGGCCGAAAGGCUGACGCAGCGACGCCGCGUGUGGGAGGACGCCUUUCGGG